This 372-nucleotide ribosomal RNA is filed under the name uncultured organism. RNAcentral's name for it is "bacterial SSU rRNA". It matches the Rfam family "Bacterial small subunit ribosomal RNA", at positions 526 to 896 of the family's 1533-position model. The record is from RNAcentral.
CGAAGGUGGCAAGCGUUACUCGGAAUUACUAGGCGUAAAGGGCAGGUAGGUGGUCUGAUAAGUCUGCUGUGAAAGCUCCUGGCUCAACUGGGAGAGGUCAGCGGAUACUGUUAGGCUUGAGUAUAGGAGAGGGUACUGGAAUUCCCGGUGUAGCGGUGAAAUGCGCAGAUAUCGGGAGGAAUACCGAUGGCGAAAGCAGGUGCCUGGACUAUUACUGACACUCAGCUGCGAAAGCUAAGGGAGCAAACAGGAUUAGAUACCCUGGUAGUCUUAGCUGUAAACGAUGCACAUUAGGCGUGGGAGGUAUCGACCCCUCCUGUGCCGACGCUAACGCAUUAAAUGUGCCGCCUGGGGAGUACGGCCGCAAGGUUG